This 465-nucleotide ribosomal RNA is filed under the name uncultured bacterium. RNAcentral's name for it is "partial 16S ribosomal RNA". It matches the Rfam family "Bacterial small subunit ribosomal RNA", at positions 29 to 523 of the family's 1533-position model. The record is from RNAcentral.
AACGAACGCUGGCGGUAUGCUUAACACAUGCAAGUCGAACGCACAAAAUUGGGGCUUGCUCCAAUUUUAGUGAGUGGCAAACGGGUGAGUAACACGUGGGAAUCUACCUAUAAGUACGGAAUAACAUUUGGAAACAGAUGCUAAUACCGUAUAUUCUCCAAGGAGGAACGUUUUAUCGCUGAUAGAUGAGCCCGCGCAAGAUUAGGUAGUUGGUAGGGUAAUGGCCUACCACGCCGACGAUCUUUAGCUGGUCUGAGAGGAUGAUCAGCCACACUGGGACUGAGACACGGCCCAGACUCCGACGGGAGGCAGCAGGGGGGAAUAUGGGACAAUGGGCGAAAGCCUGAUCCAGCAAUACCGCGUGAAUGAUGAAGGCCUAGGGUUGGAAAGUUCUUUUAGUUGGAAAGAUAAUGACGGUACCAACAGAAAAAGCCCCGGCUAACUCCGUGCCAGCCGCCGCCGUAA